This 194-nucleotide unclassified non-coding RNA is filed under the name rhizosphere metagenome. RNAcentral's name for it is "partial ribosomal RNA internal transcribed spacer region". The record is from RNAcentral.
AUUAGAAAAGGUGCGGGCUGAAAUGCCCGUAUUUCUAAACCCUAUGUUUACAUACCUUUGUUGCUUUGGCAGGCCGCGGCCUCCGCUGUGGGCUCACGCGCACACGUGCCUGCCAGAGGACCCAACUCUUGAUUUUAGUGAUGUCUGAGUACUAUUAAAUAGUUAAAACUUUCAACAACGGAUCUCUUGGUUCU